This 1517-nucleotide long non-coding RNA is filed under the name Coturnix japonica (Japanese quail). RNAcentral describes it as "lncRNA (ENSCJPG00005001152.1)". Lineage: Eukaryota; Metazoa; Chordata; Aves; Galliformes; Phasianidae. The record is from RNAcentral.
CUUAUCUCUCCCCCUUUAACCCUAUUAGGGGCCUGGGACCCUUGUUCCUACUCGGUCCUAUUGGGGGUCCAGGAGCUCUAUGGGGUUCUAUGGGGCUCUAUGGGGUUCUAUGGGUCUCUAUGGGCUCUAUAGAGUUCUAUGGGUCUCUAUGGGUCUCUGACCCCUUACCUGUCCCCUUUAACCAUAUAGGGCGGCUGGACCCCCGUCCUAUCGUCCUAUUGGUGUCCAGGGAGCUCUAUGGGGUUCUGGGGCUCUAUGGGGUGUUUAUUGAGGGCUCUAGGCUUCCAUAUUAUAGGGUUCUAUGGGUCUCUAUGGGUCUCGCGUUUUAUGGGUCUCUCAGGUCCAAUGUAUGGGGGUUCUAUGGGGUCUCUAUGGGGUCUUUAUGGGUCUUUAGGUCCAUUAUGGGGUUCUAUGGGGAUCUAUGGAGUCUCUAUGGGGUUCUAUGGGUCUCUAUGGGUCUCUAUGGGUCUCUGACCCCUUACCUGUCCCCCUUUAACCCUAUAGGGGCCUGGACCCCCGUUCCUACUCGGUCCUGUUGGGGGUUCUCCAGGAGCUCUAUUGGGGGUUCUAUGUGGAGUCUCUAUGGGGUUCUAUAGAGUUCUAUGGGUCUCUAUGGGUCUCUGAACCCCUUACCCUGUCCCUUUAACCCUAUGGGCCUGAGACCCGUUCCUACUCGUUUUCCUGUGGGGGGUCCAGGAGCCUUCUAUGGGGCUUAUAUGGCUCUAUGAAGUUCUAUGGGUCUCUAUGGGUCUCUAUGGGGUUCUAUGGGUCUCUAUGGGUCUCUAUGGGUCUCUAGGUCCAUAUGGGGUCUCUAUAGGGUUCUGUGGGGUUCUAUGGGUCUCUAUGGGGUCUCUAUGGGGUUCUAUGGUGUCUAUGGGUUUCUAUGGGGUGAUUAUGGGGUUCUAAGGGUCUCUCUGGGGUCUCUAUGGGUCUCUAUGGGUCUCUGACCCCUUACCUGUCCCCCUUUAACCCUAUAGGGGCCUGGACCCCCGUUCCUACUCGGUCCUAUUGGGGGUCCAGGAGCUCUAUGGGGUUCUAUGGGGCUCUAUGGGGCUCUAUGGGGUUCUAAGGGUUUCUUUGUGGCUCUAUAGGGUCUCUAUGGGGCUCUAGGUCCAUAUGGGGUUCUAUAGGGUUCUAAGGGGUUCUGUGAGGCUCUAUGGGGUCUGUAUGGGGUUCUUUGGGGCUCCAGUUCCAUAUAGGGUUCUAAGGGGCUGUAUGGGAUUCUAUAGGGUUCUAUGGGGCUCCAUGGGUCUCUAUGGGUCUCUGACCCUUACUGUCCCCUUUAACCCUGAUAGGGGCCUGGACCCCCGUUUUCUACUCGGUUCCUGUUGGGGUCAGGAAGCAUUCUAUGGGGUCCUAUGGGGUCUCUAUGGGGUUCUAUGGGACUCUAGGUCCAUUAUGGUGUUCUAUGGGGUCUCUAUGGGGCUCUAUGGGUCUCUAGGUCCAUAUGGGGUUCUAUUAGGGGUUUCUAUGUGCUCUAUAGGGCGCUAUGUGUUCUAUUAGGUAUCUAUGUGCUC